ACUGAUUUGAAGAGCUUGCUCAGAUAUGACGAUGGACAUUGCAAAGAGUGGCGAACGGGUGAGUAACACGUGGGAAACCUACCUCUUAGCAGGGGAUAACAUUUGGAAACAGAUGCUAAUACCGUAUAACAAUAGCAACCGCAUGGUUGCUACUUAAAAGAUGGUUCUGCUAUCACUAAGAGAUGGUCCCGCGGUGCAUUAGUUAGUUGGUGAGGUAAUGGCUCACCAAGACGAUGAUGCAUAGCCAAGUUGAGAGACUGAUCGGCCACAAUGGGACUGAGACACGGCCCAUACUCCUACGGGAGGCAGCAGUAGGGAAUCUUCCACAAUGGGCGAAAGCCUGAUGGAGCAACGCCGCGUGUGUGAUGAAGGGUUUCGGCUCGUAAAACACUGUUGUAAGAGAAGAAUGACAUUGAGAGUAACUGUUCAAUGUGUGACGGUAUCUUACCAGAAAGGAACGGCUAAAUACGUGCCAGCAGCCGCGGUAAUACGUAUGUUCCAAGCGUUAUCCGGAUUUAUUGGGCGUAAAGCGAGCGCAGACGGUUAUUUAAGUCUGAAGUGAAAGCCCUCAGCUCAACUGAGGAAUUGCUUUGGAAACUGGAUGACUUGAGUGCAGUAGAGGAAAGUGGAACUCCAUGUGUAGCGGUG
RNAcentral lists this ribosomal RNA (648 nucleotides) under Weissella cibaria. RNAcentral's name for it is "bacterial SSU rRNA". It matches the Rfam family "Bacterial small subunit ribosomal RNA", at positions 66 to 683 of the family's 1533-position model. Lineage: Bacteria; Bacillati; Bacillota; Bacilli; Lactobacillales; Lactobacillaceae. The record is from RNAcentral.